UCGCCUUGUGCCUCGCUCGGUGCUUCGUCUCUAAGAAGCAUCUUGAGCUGGAUACCGAAUGCAUUAGCAUCUCAGUAAGGGGCCAUAAGAAACAGGGCUCUAUUUGAGUGCGGUGACACCAAGGGUAACCGGAUGGUGGCACUGUAAUUAUCAGUCCUGACAUUG
RNAcentral lists this small nucleolar RNA (165 nucleotides) under Sungouiella intermedia. Lineage: Eukaryota; Fungi; Ascomycota; Pichiomycetes; Serinales; Metschnikowiaceae. The record is from RNAcentral.